Long non-coding RNA from Cavia porcellus (domestic guinea pig), 882 nucleotides. RefSeq lists it as uncharacterized. The transcript has 2 exons. NCBI's taxonomy places the organism in Eukaryota, Metazoa, Chordata, Mammalia, Rodentia, Caviidae. The record is from RefSeq and is a predicted model, not a curated record.
GCCACCAGCUGAGUUUCCGGGUUCCUGGUUCUGGAGAAGGUGGCUGGGCAUGUCCUAGGUAGGCCUGAAACCGGCCAGACGAGUGCAGCCUAGUGUGGCGGGGCUCUGGGCGGGCCCUUGAGCUCUGGGAGCAAUGAUCUUAACACAGCCUCCCGGGUUCUGGAUAGGGAGCUGACUCACCCCAGCUACCAGCUGAAUUUCCUGCUUACUCAGAAGUAAACUUUUGAAUAAUCUUUUGAGUCAUCUUGUUAUAUAAAUGAGAGUUCUUCCUCUAUCAAAAGUGGUAAUGAUAUGAAGUUAUAGAGGAGGUUUGAAGAUCUAGAUUCUCAUCCGUACUUUGGAAGUCCAAAUCUGUUGAGAGAAAAGAUGGUGCGAGCUGUGAGGUUUCCUCUCCUGUUGCUGCUGUGCCUGUUUGGGCUGCUGUGCCCUUUUUGGGCUGUGUCUCAGGAUCUCACCCCAUUUCAGAUGUUUCAGCAUAAACAUGUACAGCCAGACCCUCGCCCAUGUGACCCGGCGAUGACUGCUGUCAAUGAAUUAGAAAAGAAUCAUAAGUGCAGGCCUACAAACACCUUUCUGCAUAACUCUCUCCAGAAUGUGAUUGAUGUGUGUACACUGCCCAACCAGCUCUGCAGGAAUGGCCAAAACAACUGCCACCAGAGUAUACAUCCUGUGAAGAUGACUGUCUGCCAGUUAACUAAAGGUCAGUACCCGAACUGCUACUACAGGACUGAUUCCACUCUCAAGAACUUCACUGUGGCCUGUGAGCCACCUCAGCAGGAGGAUCCACGUCAGUACCCUCUGGUUCCUGUUCACUUUGACGCUAUUGUCCACAAUUCCCAGCGGUUUUCCUCUGUCUUGACAGGCAGUUGCUAUUAUAGUUUG